AUGAAGCUGGAUUCGCUAGUAAUCGCGCAUCAGCCACGGCGCGGUGAAUACGUUCCCGGGCCUUGUACACACCGCCCGUCAAGCCAUGGAAGCCGGGAGUGCCUGAAGUACGCGACCGCAAGGAGCGUCCUAAGGUAAAACCGGUGACUGGGGCUAAGUCGUAACAAGGUAAC
RNAcentral lists this ribosomal RNA (173 nucleotides) under uncultured bacterium. RNAcentral's name for it is "partial 16S ribosomal RNA". It matches the Rfam family "Bacterial small subunit ribosomal RNA", at positions 1320 to 1500 of the family's 1533-position model. The record is from RNAcentral.